GAUGGCAGCUGUCAGCCUUGCAGGAAGCCCACUAUUAAAAGGAAACAAAAGUGUCAUUAGGAGCCCUGCUGUCGCUGUGGAUUGAGCCUGCAUGCUGCCCUGAGGGCUGGACCGCAUUCGCAGGGCUGAGAAAGCAGCUGGAGGCCUUGACCGUGAGGGCCUCUGAAA
Felis catus (domestic cat) is the source of this 168-nucleotide non-coding RNA. The record is from Rfam. Lineage: Eukaryota; Metazoa; Chordata; Mammalia; Carnivora; Felidae.